Molecule: long non-coding RNA, 427 nt
Filed under: Mytilus galloprovincialis (Mediterranean mussel)
Lineage: Eukaryota; Metazoa; Mollusca; Bivalvia; Mytilida; Mytilidae
Source: RNAcentral
GGUAUAUUGCUGCUUUUCCAAUAUGCACACGGCAUUUAAGCGUAAAAGCAAAAAGAAAAUGCAUAGCAUUAUUGCUGGUAUUCAACUUUUUCCAUUCAUGACUUCUCGGUUCGGCAUCUGUCUGAUUAAUUUGUACGGGAAGACGAAAACGUUCUUUGCGGAGGUUUCUUCAUGCUCUACCAUGUUUACAAUUUGCCUCAUUGUGUGGGUCUAGUACGAACAGAAUAGAUUUUGAUUUCGCAUCAACAGUUAUUUGGGAGGUAUUUACGUUCUAAUAUCAUAUGCAUUAAAUAAUUUUUAAUCGACCACCAAAUCCCAUCAACUUGCCUGUUAAGAAAAUAAACCAAUUCGGUCGUUUGAAAUGACCUAUCUGAAGAACUGGACUACUUAUAUGCAUAGCAAAAUACACGUUUUCUUUAAAAUAAAC